GACGAACGCUGGCGGCGUGCUUAACACAUGCAAGUCGAACGGAAAGGCCCUGCUUUUGUGGGGUGCUCGAGUGGCGAACGGGUGAGUAACACGUGAGUAACCUGCCCUUGACUUUGGGAUAACUUCAGGAAACUGGGGCUAAUACCGGAUAGGAGCCCCUGCUGCAUGGUGGGGGUUGGAAAGUUUCGGCGGUUGGGGAUGGACUCGCGGCUUAUCAGCUUGUUGGUGGGGUAGUGGCUUACCAAGGCUUUAACGGGUAGCCGGCCUGAGAGGGUGACCGGCCACAUUGGGACUGAGAUACGGCCCAGACUCCUACGGGAGGCAGCAGUGGGGAAUAUUGCACAAUGGGCGGAAGCCUGAUGCAGCAACGCCGCGUGCGGGAUGACGGCCUUCGGGUUGUAAACCGCUUUCGCCUGUGACGAAGCGUGAGUGACGGUAAUGGGUAAAGAAGCACCGGCUAACUACGUG
RNAcentral lists this ribosomal RNA (468 nucleotides) under uncultured bacterium. RNAcentral's name for it is "partial 16S ribosomal RNA". It matches the Rfam family "Bacterial small subunit ribosomal RNA", at positions 28 to 507 of the family's 1533-position model. The record is from RNAcentral.